This 468-nucleotide ribosomal RNA is filed under the name uncultured bacterium. Its description in RNAcentral is "partial 16S ribosomal RNA". It matches the Rfam family "Bacterial small subunit ribosomal RNA", at positions 28 to 507 of the family's 1533-position model. The record is from RNAcentral.
GACGAACGCUGGCGGCGUGCCUAACACAUGCAAGUCGAACGGAAAGGCCCUGCUUUUGUGGGCUGCUCGAGUGGCGAACGGGUGAGUAACACGUGAGUAACCUGCCCUUGACUUUGGGAUAACUUCAGGAAACUGAGGCUAAUACCGGAUAGGAGCUCCCGCUGCAUGGUGGGGGUUGGAAAGUUUCGGCGGUUGGGGAUGGACUCGCGGCUUAUCAGCUUGUUGGUGGGGUAGUGGCUUACCAAGGCAUUGACGGGUAGCCGGCCUGAGAGGGUGACCGGCCACAUUGGGCCUGAGAUACGGCCCAGACUCGUAUGGGAGGCAGGGGUGGGGAGUAUUAUACAGUGGGAGGGAGCCUGGUGCGGCAACGCCGCGUGCGGGAUGACGGGCUUCGGGUUGUGAACCGCUUUCGCCUGUGACGAAGCGUGAGUGACGGUAAUGGGUGAAGAAGCACCGGCUAACUACGUG